RNAcentral lists this ribosomal RNA (254 nucleotides) under uncultured bacterium. RNAcentral describes it as "partial 16S ribosomal RNA". It matches the Rfam family "Bacterial small subunit ribosomal RNA", at positions 524 to 776 of the family's 1533-position model. The record is from RNAcentral.
CACGUAGGGUGCGAGCGUUGUCCGGAAUUAUUGGGCGUAAAGAGCUCGUAGGCGGUGUGUCGCUUCGGCCGUGAAAACCUGCAGCUUAACUGUGGGCUUGCGGUCGAUACGGGCAUCACUGGAGUUCGGCAGGGGAGACUGGAAUUCCUGGUGUAGCGGUGAAAUGCGCAGAUAUCAGGAGGAACACCGGUGGCGAAGGCGGGUCUCUGGGCCGAUACUGACGCUGAGGAGCGAAAGCGUGGGGAGCGAACAGG